CCCUUAGACACUCUAGGCGGCACGCGCGCUACAAUGGGUGGAAGAACGUGUUACUGCCUCCGAAAGGAGGGGUGAAUCACGAAUUCUUGCCCGUGAAUGGGAUAGUUUGUUGCAAUUUUCGGACUUGAACUAGGAAUCCCUUGUAAACAUGCUCAAGAAUAGCGUGUUGAAUACGUCCCUGCCGUUUGUACACACCGCCCGUCGUUUCUUCCGACUGAUACUCAUUGUGAGUUGCAAGGACCCUUUAUUGGGAAAUUACUGCAAAUGCUUUGUAUUGGAGGAAGAAAAAGUCGUAACA
This 298-nucleotide ribosomal RNA is filed under the name uncultured eukaryote. RNAcentral's name for it is "partial 18S ribosomal RNA". It matches the Rfam family "Eukaryotic small subunit ribosomal RNA", at positions 1470 to 1796 of the family's 1831-position model. The record is from RNAcentral.